RNAcentral lists this small nuclear RNA (110 nucleotides) under Cervus hanglu yarkandensis (Yarkand deer). RNAcentral describes it as "U2 spliceosomal RNA (ENSCHYG00000011194.1)". It matches the Rfam family "U2 spliceosomal RNA". From Rfam's summary of the family: U2 is a small nuclear RNA (snRNA) component of the spliceosome (involved in pre-mRNA splicing). The record is from Rfam by way of RNAcentral. Lineage: Eukaryota; Metazoa; Chordata; Mammalia; Artiodactyla; Cervidae.
AUCGCUUCUCGGCCUUUUGGCUAAGAUCAAGUGUAUUAUUUCUCUAUGCUUUCACUUCCUCUCAGCUAAUCAGCAAUCAUUUCUUGUUAAUAAUAUUUGUGUCAUCAUUU